AGCGGCGGACGGGUGAGUAACGCGUGGGUAACCUGCCUCAUACAGGGGGAUAACAGUUAGAAAUGCUGCUAAUACCGCAUAAGACCACGGUACCGCAUGGUACAGUGGUAAAAACUCCGGUGGUAUGAGAUGGACCCGCGUCUGAUUAGGUAGUUGGUGGGGUAACGGCCUACCAAGCCGACGAUCAGUAGCCGACCUGAGAGGGUGAUCGGCCACAUUGGGACUGAGACACGGCCCAG
Molecule: ribosomal RNA, 239 nt
Filed under: uncultured bacterium
Lineage: Bacteria
Description: partial 16S ribosomal RNA
Rfam family: Bacterial small subunit ribosomal RNA
Source: RNAcentral